RNAcentral lists this ribosomal RNA (501 nucleotides) under uncultured bacterium. RNAcentral describes it as "partial 16S ribosomal RNA". It matches the Rfam family "Bacterial small subunit ribosomal RNA", at positions 29 to 523 of the family's 1533-position model. The record is from RNAcentral.
AUUGAACGCUGGCGGCAUGCCUUACACAUGCAAGUCGAACGGCAGCACGGGUGCUUGCACCUGGUGGCGAGUGGCGAACGGGUGAGUAAUACAUCGGAACGUACCUUAUCGUGGGGGAUAACGCAGCGAAAGCUGUGCUAAUUACGCAUACGCCCUGAGGGGGAAAGCGGGGGAUCGAAAGACCUCGCGCGACUAGAGCGGCCGAUGCCUGAUUAGCUGGUUGGUGGGGUAAGAGCCCACCAAGGCGACGAUCAGUAGCUGGUCUGAGAGGACGAUCAGCCACACUGGGACUGAGACACGGCCCAGACUCCUACGGGAGGCAGCAGUGGGGAAUUUUGGACAAUGGGGGCAACCCUGAUCCAGCAAUGCCGCGUGAGUGAAGAAGGCCUUCGGGUUGUAAAGCUCUUUUGUCAGGGAAGAAACACCGGCUCUAACACAGUCCGGGAAUGACGGUACCUGAAGAAUAAGCACCGGCUAACUACGUGCCAGCAGCCGCGGUAA